Molecule: ribosomal RNA, 253 nt
Filed under: uncultured bacterium
Lineage: Bacteria
Description: partial 16S ribosomal RNA
Rfam family: Bacterial small subunit ribosomal RNA
Source: RNAcentral
UACAGAGGGUGCAAGCGUUAAUCGGAAUUACUGGGCGUAAAGCGUGCGCAGGCGGUUUCUUAAGUCAGAUGUGAAAGCCCCGGGCUUAACCUGGGAACUGCGUUUGAAACUGGGAGACUUGAGUGUGGCAGAGGGGGGUGGAAUUCCACGUGUAGCAGUGAAAUGCGUAGAUAUGUGGAGGAACACCGGUGGCGAAGGCGGCUAUCUGGCCCAACAUUGACACUGAAGCACGAAAGCGUGGGGAUCAAACAGG